Molecule: long non-coding RNA, 169 nt
Organism: Sycon ciliatum
Lineage: Eukaryota; Metazoa; Porifera; Calcarea; Leucosolenida; Sycettidae
Exons: 3
Source: RefSeq, a predicted model, not a curated record
CAACGAGAUGAGGAAGGUCAUUUUUAUUUUCUAAACUGCGAACGGGCAGAAAGCUAACCAACGAGAUGAGGAUGGUCAUUGUCAUUUUCGAAGCUGCGAACGGGCAGAAAGCUACACAACGAGAUGAGGAUGGUCAUUGUCAUUUUCUGAGCUGAGAACGGGCAGAAAG